RNAcentral lists this ribosomal RNA (468 nucleotides) under uncultured bacterium. Its description in RNAcentral is "partial 16S ribosomal RNA". It matches the Rfam family "Bacterial small subunit ribosomal RNA", at positions 28 to 507 of the family's 1533-position model. The record is from RNAcentral.
GACGAACGCUGGCGGCGUGCUUAACACAUGCAAGUCGAACGGAAAGGCCCUGCUUUUGUGGGGUGCUCGAGUGGCGAACGGGUGAGUAACACGUGAGUAACCUGCCCUUGACUUUGGGAUAACUUCAGGAAACUGGGGCUAAUACCCGAUAGGAUCUCCUGCUGCAUGGUGGGGGAUGGAAAGUUUCGGCGGUUGGGGCUGGACUCGCGGCUUAUCAGCUUGUUUGUGGGGUAGUGGCUUACCAAGGCUUCGACGGGUAGCCGGCCUGAGAGGGUGACCGGCCACAUGAGGACUGCGAUACGGACCAGAAUGCUACGGGAGGCAGUAGUGGGGAAUAUUGCACAAUGGGCGGAAGCCAGAUGCAGCGACGCCGGGUGCGGGAUGACGGCCUUCGGGUUGUAAACCGCUUUCGCCUGUGACGAAGCGUGAGUGACGGUAAUGGGUAAAGAAGCAACGGCUAACUACGUG